This 305-nucleotide ribosomal RNA is filed under the name uncultured bacterium. RNAcentral's name for it is "bacterial SSU rRNA". It matches the Rfam family "Bacterial small subunit ribosomal RNA", at positions 336 to 659 of the family's 1533-position model. The record is from RNAcentral.
UUCCUACGGGAGGAGCAGUGGGGAAUAUUGCACAAUGGGGGAAACCCUGAUGCAGCGACGCCGCGUGAGCGAAGAAGUAUUUCGGUAUGUAAAGCUCUAUCAGCAGGGAAGAAAAUGACGGUACCUGACUAAGAAGCACCGGCUAAAUACGUGCCAGCAGCCGCGGUAAUACGUAUGGUGCAAGCGUUAUCCGGAUUUACUGGGUGUAAAGGGAGCGUAGACGGCUGUGCAAGCCUGAAGUGAAAGGCCGGGGCCCAACCCUGGGAGUGCUUUGGGAACUGUGCAGCUAGAGUGUCGGAGAGGCA